RNAcentral lists this ribosomal RNA (450 nucleotides) under uncultured bacterium. RNAcentral's name for it is "partial 16S ribosomal RNA". It matches the Rfam family "Bacterial small subunit ribosomal RNA", at positions 354 to 796 of the family's 1533-position model. The record is from RNAcentral.
GUGGGGAAUUUUGGACAAUGGGGGGAACCCUGAUCCAGCCAUGCCGCGUGUGUGAAGAAGGCCUUCGGGUUGUAAACUGCUUCUGUACGGAACGAAACGGUCCUGGCUAAUAUCCGGGGCUAAUGACGGUACCGUAAGAAUAAGCACCGGCUAACUACGUGCCAGCAGCCGCGGUAAUACGUAGGGUGCGAGCGUUAAUCGGAAUUACUGGGCGUAAAGCGUGCGCAGGCGGUGCUGUAAGACAGGCGUGAAAUCCCCGGGCUCAACCUGGGAAUUGCGCUUGUGACUGCAGGGCUGGAGUGCGGCAGAGGGGGAUGGAAUUCCGCGUGUAGCAGUGAAAUGCGUAGGUAUGCGGAGGAACACCGAUGGCGAAGGCAAUCCCCUGGGCCUGCACUGACGCUCAUGCACGAAAGCGUGGGGAGCAAACAGGAUUAGAAACCCUUGUAGUCC